Molecule: transfer RNA, 72 nt
Filed under: Salmo salar (Atlantic salmon)
Lineage: Eukaryota; Metazoa; Chordata; Actinopteri; Salmoniformes; Salmonidae
Also listed under: 1 other name
Rfam family: tRNA
About the family: Transfer RNA (tRNA) molecules are approximately 80 nucleotides in length.
Source: Rfam by way of RNAcentral
CCCCCUGUGGCUCAGUUGGUAGAGCAUGGUGUUUGCAACGCCAGGGUUGUGGGUUCGAUUCCCACGGGGGGC